GCGCACAGAAAGUUUAACCCAGGGGCUGGGGGCAGUUGCCUAGGUACGAUGCAUGAUAAUUUUCUUCAUUUGCGCGCCUUGAUGAGCGAAGAGGGUGGAUGGAGACACAGACAAGUUGCUAGUGAGAAAGCGAAACUUUUUCCAUUUUGCUGAUGGCAUGUGUACGUGUAAAAGUUUUUGCCCACAGAUGGUAGGGGGGUGGCAGCAACAGCAACAGCGACAACGACAGCGAACGACUCUUCAAAGGUGCAAAUAAAGUAAAUUAUUAGAUUCUUCUUCGGGCGCUGCUGCUUGUGGAUUUCCGCUUCAAUUACACAGCCACAGCCACUGCUCGCAUAAAUUUCACUUGACAAACUUUCUCCUGCGGAUAGUGCACACACGCACACUCCCACACACACACAUUGGCAAAUGAAGGACUUCCGCAGGGAUGUGACAUGUAAUUGCUACUACCUGAAACCACACAGGGCCAACUUUAAUGAGUGUCGUCGUGAUGCUCACACUUCUAAUGGAAGUUGCUGCCAUUUCGGUUUCAUUUAGGCAGAAAAGAGCCCACAGAUCGCUGCUGCCAGAAGAUCAAAGCUGCCAGCAGACUUGCUCUCUAUCCAGCCUCCAUUUGGCCUGCCCGAAUAACAGCU
Molecule: long non-coding RNA, 635 nt
Filed under: Drosophila guanche
Lineage: Eukaryota; Metazoa; Arthropoda; Insecta; Diptera; Drosophilidae
Source: RNAcentral